UUCGAGAGCUACGCGUCUCUUGAAGAUAGAUAAAUACGACGAUCAUCUCUCUGUAUUAUAUCUCGAAUUGUAAUUCUAUAACACGAGAUUGGAAAAAUAAGAAGGGGAAGAAGUUAUAUAAUUUCGUACAUAAAUUUUGUUUUAAAUUCCUAUAUGGCGCUGCAGUCGUAAGCGCUCUGUAAUCGAGUGUGUUGAAUUUUGUAGAGAGUAUGUCGCGUGUGUUCGGGAAAAGAAUUUAACAUCGGAAGGAAUUGAUGAAUGUAGUGAAGGUUUAGAAAAUAUUACUGUCAAUGCAAUUAUUCAGAAAGCUUUAGAUAGUGAUUUACGAGAAAUUGGUGCAAAAUUCCUACCUGAAGAUAUCAACAGAGGAAGAAUUGAAUCAAUAACUGGACCAGCAGUUCUUCAGAUUCAGAAAAUACGUAAUGUUAGUUCACCAAAA
Molecule: unclassified non-coding RNA, 439 nt
Filed under: Centruroides sculpturatus (bark scorpion)
Lineage: Eukaryota; Metazoa; Arthropoda; Arachnida; Scorpiones; Buthidae
Description: tudor domain-containing protein 3-like, transcript variant X1
Source: RNAcentral